Molecule: ribosomal RNA, 582 nt
Filed under: uncultured Bacteroidota bacterium
Lineage: Bacteria; Pseudomonadati; Bacteroidota
Description: bacterial SSU rRNA
Rfam family: Bacterial small subunit ribosomal RNA
Source: RNAcentral
CUCCUACGGGAGGCAGCAGUAAGGAAUAUUGGACAAUGGACGCAAGUCUGAUCCAGCCAUGCCGCGUGAAGGAUUAAGGCCCUCUGGGUUGUAAACUUCUUUUAUAGGGGACGAAAAAAGGGCUUUCUAGCUCGUCUGACGGUACCCUAUGAAUAAGCACCGGCUAACUCCGUGCCAGCAGCCGCGGUAAUACGGAGGGUGCAAGCGUUAUCCGGAUUCACUGGGUUUAAAGGGUGCGUAGGCGGGCAGUUAAGUCAGUGGUGAAAUCUUCGAGCUCAACUCGGAAACUGCCAUUGAUACUAUCUGUCUUGAAUACUGUGGAGGUGAGCGGAAUAUGUCAUGUAGCGGUGAAAUGCUUAGAUAUGACAUAGAACACCGAUUGCGAAGGCAGCUCGCUACACAAAUAUUGACGCUGAGGCACGAAAGCGUGGGGAUCAAACAGGAUUAGAUACCCUGGUAGUCCACGCCCUAAACUAUGGAUACUCGACAUUUGCGAUACACAGUAAGUGUCUGAGCGAAAGCAUUAAGUAUCCCACCUGGGAAGUACGACCGCAAGGUUGAAACUCAAAGGAAUUGACGGGG